ACCCGCUGAACUUAAGCAUAUCAAUAAGCGGAGGAAAAGAAACCAACCGGGAUUACCUUAGUAACGGCGAGUGAAGCGGUAACAGCUCAAAUUUGAAAUCUGGCUCUCACCGGAGUCCGAGUUGUAAUUUGUAGAAGAUGCUUUGGGUGCUAGGCCUGGCCUAAGUUCCUUGGAACAGGACGUCAUAGAGGGUGAGAAUCCCGUAUGCGGCCGGUGCCUGUGCCCGUGUAAAGCUCUUUCGACGAGUCGAGUUGUUUGGGAAUGCAGCUCAAAAUGGGUGGUAAAUUUCAUCUAAAGCUAAAUAUUGGCCAGAGACCGAUAGCGCACAAGUAGAGUGAUCGAAAGAUGAAAAGCACUUUGGAAAGAGAGUUAAACAGUACGUGAAAUUGUUGAAAGGGAAGCGCUUGCAACCAGACUUGGGCGUUGGUGAUCAUCCGGAGUUUUCUCUGGUGCACUCGGCAAUGCACAGGCCAGCAUCGGUUCGGGUGGUUGGAUAAAGGCCUAGGGAACGUAGCUCCUCUCGGGGAGUGUUAUAGCCCUGGGCGCAAUGCAGCCUACCUGGACCGAGGACCGCGCUUCGGCUAGGAUGCUGGCGUAAUGGUUGUAAGCGACCCGUCUUGAAACACGGACCAAGG
Molecule: ribosomal RNA, 635 nt
Filed under: Pleochaeta shiraiana
Lineage: Eukaryota; Fungi; Ascomycota; Leotiomycetes; Helotiales; Erysiphaceae
Description: partial large subunit ribosomal RNA
Rfam family: Eukaryotic large subunit ribosomal RNA
Source: RNAcentral